AUGAUUCGUGGGACGUCCUGCCGGUGGUGGCGAGUCGAAGGCGUGCACCCGUUGUGGUUUAUCCACUUCGGUUCUUGCGCGCCGGAGGCGGACCCCGAUGAAAUCCUACCGCGGUGCUCUUCGCCGAGUGUCGAGGUGGGCCGGCACGUUUACUUUGAACAAAUUAUUAGUGCUUAAAGCAGGCCUGUUGCGCCUGAAUACUGUGUGCAUGGAAUAAUGGAAUAGGACCUCGGUUCUAUUUUGUUGGUUUUCGGAACCCGAGGUAAUGAUUAAUAGGGACAGGCGGGGGCAUUCGUAUUGCGACGUUAGAGGUGAAAUUCUUGGAUCGUCGCAAGACGGACCGAAGCGAAAGCAUUUGCCAAGUAUGUUUUCAUUAAUCAAGAACGAAAGUUAGAGGUUCGAAGGCGAUCAGAUACCGCCCUAGUUCUAACCAUAAACGAUGCCAGCUAGCGAUCCGCCGAAGUUCCUCCGAUGACUCGGCGGGCAGCUCCCGGGAAACAAGCUUUGGGUUCCGGGGGAAGUAUGGUUGCAAGCUGAAACUUAAAGGAAUUGACGGAAGG
RNAcentral lists this ribosomal RNA (560 nucleotides) under Ancistrura nigrovittata. RNAcentral's name for it is "SSU rRNA". It matches the Rfam family "Eukaryotic small subunit ribosomal RNA", at positions 720 to 1163 of the family's 1831-position model. The record is from RNAcentral. Lineage: Eukaryota; Metazoa; Arthropoda; Insecta; Orthoptera; Tettigoniidae.